RNAcentral lists this ribosomal RNA (446 nucleotides) under uncultured bacterium. RNAcentral describes it as "partial 16S ribosomal RNA". It matches the Rfam family "Bacterial small subunit ribosomal RNA", at positions 338 to 795 of the family's 1533-position model. The record is from RNAcentral.
CCUACGGGAGGCAGCAGUCGAGAAUCAUUCACAAUGGGGGAAACCCUGAUGGUGCGACGCCGCGUGGGGGAAUGAAGGUCUUCGGAUUGUAAACCCCUGUCAUGUGGGAGCAAAUUCAAAAGAUAGUACCACAAGAGGAAGAGACGGCUAACUCUGUGCCAGCAGCCGCGGUAAUACAGAGGUCUCAAGCGUUGUUCGGAAUCACUGGGCGUAAAGCGUGCGUAGGCUGUUUCGUAAGUCGUGUGUGAAAGGCGCGGGCUCAACCCGCGGACGGCACAUGAUACUGCGAGACUAGAGUAAGGGAGGGGGAACCGGAAUGCUCGGUGUAGCAGUGAAAUGCGUAGAUAUCGAGAGGAACACUCGUGGCGAAGGCGGGUUCCUGGACAUUAACUGACGCUGAGGCACGAAGGCCAGGGGAGCGAAAGGGAUUAGAUACCCCUGUAGUC